GGGGGAUUAGUGGCGAACGGGUGAGUAACACGUGAGUAACCUGCCCUUAACUCUGGGAUAAGCCUGGGAAACUGGGUCUAAUACCGGAUAUGACUCCUCAUCGCAUGGUGGGGGGUGGAAAGCUUUUUGUGGUUUUGGAUGGACUCGCGGCCUAUCAGCUUGUUGGUGAGGUAAUGGCUCACCAAGGCGACGACUGGUAGCCGGCCUGAGAGGGUGACCGGCCACACUGGGACUGAGACACGGCCCACACUCCUACGGGAGGCAGCAGUGGGGAAUAUUGCACAAUGGGCGAAAGCCUGAUGCAGCGACGCCGCGUGAGGGAUGACGGCCUUCGGGUUGUAAACCUCUUUCAGUAGGGAAGAAGCGAAAGUGACGGUACCUGCAGAAGAAGCGCCGGCUAACUACGUGCCAGCAGCCGCGGUAAUACGUAGGGCGCAAGCGUUAUCCGGAAUUAUUGGGCGUAAAGAGCUCGUAGGCGGUUUGUCGCGUCUGCCGUGAAAGUCCGGGGCUCAACUCCGGAUCUGCGGUGGGUACGGGCAGACUAGAGUGAUGUAGGGGAGACUGGAAUUCCUGGUGUAGCGGUGAAAUGCGCAGAUUCAGGAGGAACCCGAUGGCGAAGGCAGGUCUCUGGGCAUUAACUGACCUCAGGAGCUAAACAUGGGGAGCGACAGGAUUAGAACCCUGGUAGCCAUGCCGUAACGUUGGGACUAGGUGUGGGGGAAUUCCACGUUUUCGCGCCGUAGCUACGCAUUAAGUGCCCGCCUGGGGAGACGGCCGCAGGCUAAACUCAAGGAUUGACG
This 800-nucleotide ribosomal RNA is filed under the name Pseudarthrobacter sulfonivorans. RNAcentral describes it as "bacterial SSU rRNA". It matches the Rfam family "Bacterial small subunit ribosomal RNA", at positions 86 to 915 of the family's 1533-position model. The record is from RNAcentral. Lineage: Bacteria; Bacillati; Actinomycetota; Actinomycetes; Micrococcales; Micrococcaceae.